UGACAUGUCAGAAAUGAUUUG
RNAcentral lists this unclassified non-coding RNA (21 nucleotides) under Chlamydomonas reinhardtii. Its description in RNAcentral is "small RNA Cre_2868". Lineage: Eukaryota; Viridiplantae; Chlorophyta; Chlorophyceae; Chlamydomonadales; Chlamydomonadaceae. The record is from RNAcentral.